UAAUAAUCUAUAUUAAGUAUUGGUAACUUAUAACAUGUCUGUUCUUCGUUUAAAUGCAUGGAAAAGAUAUUUACAAAGGUUACAUAUGUCUUUUACAUUUUCUGUGCCCAACAACUGUAUAAGUUUAAAUGACGAUGGACGCUUAUAAUAAUAUGGCUUAAUAUACUGCCUCCUAAUUUCAUUAUAACAAUCACACUGUAAAAUAAAAUGAAACUCGUCUUCUAUCGUAUUUAAAGUACAGAGAGUGCAUUUUCUUUCUGAUCUAUUAACCCCGUGAUAUCGUCCUGUUUCAACAAAUAAGUUAUGUGAAG
This 311-nucleotide long non-coding RNA is filed under the name Mytilus galloprovincialis (Mediterranean mussel). Lineage: Eukaryota; Metazoa; Mollusca; Bivalvia; Mytilida; Mytilidae. The record is from RNAcentral.